Molecule: ribosomal RNA, 468 nt
Filed under: uncultured bacterium
Lineage: Bacteria
Description: partial 16S ribosomal RNA
Rfam family: Bacterial small subunit ribosomal RNA
Source: RNAcentral
GACGAACGCUGGCGGCGUGCUUAACACAUGCAAGUCGAACGGAAAGGCCCUGCUGUUGUAGGGUGCUCGAGUGGCGAAAGGGUGAGUAACACGUGAGUAACCUGCCCUUGACUUUGGGAUAACUUCAGGAAACUGGGGCUAAUAACGGAUAGGAGCUCCUGCUGCAUGGUGGGGGUUGGAAAGUUUCGGCGGUUGGGGAUGGACUCGCGGCUUAUCAGCUUGUUGGUGGGGUAGUGGCUUACCAAGGCUUUGACGGGUAGCCGGCCUGAGAGGGUGACCGGCCACAUUGGGACUGAGAUACGGCCCAGACUCCUACGGGAGGCAGCAGUGGGGAAUAUUGCACAAUGGGCGGAAGCCUGAUGCAGCAACGCCGCGUGCGGGAUGACGGCCUUCGGGUUGUAAACCGCUUUCGCCUGUGACGAAGCGUGAGUGACGGUAAUGGGUAAAGAAGCACCGGCUAACUACGUG